GAUGAAGAACGCAGCGAAAUGCGAUAAGUAAUGUGAAUUGCAGAAUUCAGUGAAUCAUCGAAUCUUUGAACGCACCUUGCGCCCUUUGGCCAUUCCGAAGGGCAUGCCUGUCCGAGCGUCAUUACAACCCUCAAGCUCAGCUUGGUGUUGGGCCCCGCCGCCCCGGCGGGCCCUAAAGUCAGUGGCGGUGCCGUCCGGCUCCGAGCGUAGUAAUUCUUCUCGCUCUGGAGGUCCGGUCGUGUGCUCGCCAGCAACCCCCAAUUUUUUUCAGGUUGACCUCGGAUCAGGUAGGGAUACCCGCUGAACUUAAGCAUAUCAAUAAGCGGAGGA
Molecule: unclassified non-coding RNA, 330 nt
Filed under: soil metagenome
Description: partial contains 5.8S ribosomal RNA, internal transcribed spacer 2, and large subunit ribosomal RNA
Rfam family: 5.8S ribosomal RNA (bases 1-121)
Source: RNAcentral